AGAGUUUGAUCCUGGCUCAGAUUGAACGCUGGCGGCAUGCCUUACACAUGCAAGUCGAACGGCAGCACGGGAGCUUGCUCCUGGUGGCGAGUGGCGAACGGGUGAGUAAUAUAUCGGAACGUACCCUAGAGUGGGGGAUAACGUAGCGAAAGUUACGCUAAUACCGCAUACGAUCUACGGAUGAAAGUGGGGGAUCGCAAGACCUCAUGCUCAUGGAGCGGCCGAUAUCUGAUUAGCUAGUUGGUGGGGUAAAAGCUCACCAAGGCGACGAUCAGUAGCUGGUCUGAGAGGACGACCAGCCACACUGGAACUGAGACACGGUCCAGACUCCUACGGGAGGCAGCAGUGGGGAAUUUUGGACAAUGGGCGCAAGCCUGAUCCAGCAAUGCCGCGUGAGUGAAGAAGGCCUUCGGGUUGUAAAGCUCUUUUGUCAGGGAAGAAACGGUUCGGGCUAAUAUCCUGGGCUAAUGACGGUACCUGAAGAAUAAGCACCGGCUAACUACGUGCCAGCAGCCGCGGUAAUACGUAGGGUGCAAGCGUUAAUCGGAAUUACUGGGCGUAAAGCGUGCGCAGGCGGUUGUGCAAGACAGAUGUGAAAUCCCCGGGCUCAACCUGGGAAUUGCAUUUGUGACUGCACGGCUAGAGUGUGUCAGAGGGGGGUAGAAUUCCACGUGUAGCAGUGAAAUGCGUAGAGAUGUGGAGGAAUACCGAUGGCGAAGGCAGCCCCCUGGGAUAACACUGACGCUCAUGCACGAAAGCGUGGGGAGCAAACAGGAUUAGAUACCCUGGUAGUCCACGCCCUAAACGAUGUCUACUAGUUGUCGGGUCUUAAUUGACUUGGUAACGCAGCUAACGCGUGAAGUAGACCGCCUGGGGAGUACAGUCGCAAGAUUAAAACUCAAAGGAAUUGACGGGGACCCGCACAAGCGGUGGAUGAUGUGGAUUAAUUCGAUGCAACGCGAAAAACCUUACCUACCCUUGACAUGUCUGGAAUCCUUGAGAGAUCAGGGAGUGCUCGAAAGAGAAUCAGAACACAGGUGCUGCAUGGCUGUCGUCAGCUCGUGUCGUGAGAUGUUGGGUUAAGUCCCGCAACGAGCGCAACCCUUGUCAUUAGUUGCUACGAAAGGGCACUCUAAUGAGACUGCCGGUGACAAACCGGAGGAAGGUGGGGAUGACGUCAAGUCCUCAUGGCCCUUAUGGGUAGGGCUUCACACGUCAUACAAUGGUACAUACAGAGGGCCGCCAACCCGCGAGGGGGAGCUAAUCCCAGAAAGUGUAUCGUAGUCCGGAUUGUAGUCUGCAACUCGACUACAUGAAGUUGGAAUCGCUAGUAAUCGCGGAUCAGCAUGUCGCGGUGAAUACGUUCCCGGGUCUUGUAUACACCGCCCGUCACACCAUGGGAGCGGGUUUCACCAGAAGUGGGUAGCCUAACCGCAAGGAGGGCGCUCACCA
RNAcentral lists this ribosomal RNA (1452 nucleotides) under metagenome. RNAcentral describes it as "bacterial SSU rRNA". It matches the Rfam family "Bacterial small subunit ribosomal RNA". The record is from RNAcentral.